GUGUAUUCCUGGGCUAAUAAC
RNAcentral lists this microRNA (21 nucleotides) under Tetranychus urticae (two-spotted spider mite). RNAcentral describes it as "tur-miR-137-5p". Its record names the gene tur-miR-137-5p. The record is from miRBase by way of RNAcentral. Lineage: Eukaryota; Metazoa; Arthropoda; Arachnida; Trombidiformes; Tetranychidae.